This 776-nucleotide ribosomal RNA is filed under the name uncultured Neocallimastigales. Its description in RNAcentral is "partial large subunit ribosomal RNA". It matches the Rfam family "Eukaryotic large subunit ribosomal RNA", at positions 24 to 642 of the family's 3401-position model. Lineage: Eukaryota; Fungi; Neocallimastigomycota; Neocallimastigomycetes; Neocallimastigales. The record is from RNAcentral.
UACGACUACAUAUCAGGCAUAUCAAUAAGCGGAGGAAAAGAAACUAACUAGGAUUCCCUCAGUAACGGCGAGUGAAGCGGGAAGAGCUCAAAUUUGAAAUCUUCAAGGUUUGACCUUGACGAAUUGUAGUUUAAAGAAGUGUUUUCGGUUAGAGGAGUUUAGUAAAAGUUCUUUGGAAUAGGACAUCAUAGAGGGUGAGAAUCCCGUAUUUGACCUAUUAUUUCCAGCUUUGUGAUACACUUUCAAAGAGUCGGAUUGUUCGGGAAUGCAGUCCAAAAUGGGUGGUAAAUUUCAUCUAAAGCUAAAUAUUGGCGAGAGACCGAUAGCGAACAAGUACCGUGAGGGAAAGAUGAAAAGAACUUUGAAAAGAGAGUUAAACAGUACGUGAAAUUGUCAAAAGGGAAGCGUUUGACACCAGUGUUGUUUCUACGAAAAUCAAUUUAUGAUGGCUUGAUGCUAAGCUUUAAGACUUUAUCCGCUUGUUGUUUAGUUUUCUUGUCUUUGUGAAUGCACUUUUCGUGGAACAAGUCAACAUCAAUUUCUUUUGCUGUAAAAGGGUAAGAGGAAGGUGGCUUCGGCUUCGGUUGAAGUGUUUAUAGCCUUUUAUCUCUGCAGUCGGAGAGAUUGAGGUCUGCAGCGUAGACUCUUCGGGGUUAGAUACGUCGGUGCUAUGCUAUAGCUUUUCAUAGACAACUUGUUGACUAUGUUUAGUCAUGUGGCUUACCCGCUGGCGCUAUUUUACCUACGCUUAGGAUGUUGAGCGCAUGUCUCUCUCU